Molecule: long non-coding RNA, 303 nt
Organism: Mauremys reevesii (Reeves's turtle)
Lineage: Eukaryota; Metazoa; Chordata; Testudines; Geoemydidae
Exons: 3
Source: RefSeq, a predicted model, not a curated record
CUGCUAUCCCCUUCCCUGCCUCAUAUACACCUUUUUGGCAAGUUUUCUGAAUUGUCUACUGAACCAGAGGAGGUAUUUUCAUACUCCAGGAUGCUACAAAGGAUGUACAGCGUGAUGGAGAUUUGAGGAGAAAAUGCUGAUGACAGUUGGGACACAGAACUGCUGACAGCAACAUCCAUCUUGAACUGUGGGUACCAGAACUGGACACAGUAUUCCAGCAACUGUCACACUAGCACCAAGUACAGAGGUAAAAUAAUCUCUCUCACGAUUCCCCAGUAUAUGCAUCCCAAGAUUGCAUUAGUU